Non-coding RNA from Erythranthe guttata (spotted monkey flower), 155 nucleotides. Lineage: Eukaryota; Viridiplantae; Streptophyta; Magnoliopsida; Lamiales; Phrymaceae. The record is from RefSeq and is a predicted model, not a curated record.
GGAAAUAUUUCUCAAGCGAAGGAGACUAGAAAUAACAAAAGAAAAAAAACUCCGAUUUCGUUAGAGGUUAAUUCGACUUCAAAUACAACAGAAUUGGUUGAUAGCAAUAUUUCAACCGAGACUGUCCAGAACAAUGCAAGGAGCUCAACUAAAAA